Small nucleolar RNA from Vulpes vulpes (red fox), 125 nucleotides. The record is from Ensembl. NCBI's taxonomy places the organism in Eukaryota, Metazoa, Chordata, Mammalia, Carnivora, Canidae.
CCUGAGAUUAGAGUCACAUCCUGACACAGGUCUGGUCUAAUGUUUUGGAGGUCUGGGAGAGAAUCUGCUGGUCUUGAUUGACUGGCAAGGCAGCACCCCCAGUAGUGUCCAUGUCAGAAACAAGC